Molecule: ribosomal RNA, 253 nt
Filed under: uncultured bacterium
Lineage: Bacteria
Description: partial 16S ribosomal RNA
Rfam family: Bacterial small subunit ribosomal RNA
Source: RNAcentral
UACGUAGGGUGCAAGCGUUGUCCGGAAUUAUUGGGCGUAAAGAGCUCGUAGGUGGCCAACUAAGUCAGACGUGAAAUCCCUCAGCUUAACUGGGGAACUGCGUCUGAUACUGGAUGGCUUGGAUUUGGGAGAGGGAUGCGGAAUUCCAGGUGUAGCGGUGAAAUGCGUAGAUAUCUGGAGGAACACCGGUGGCGAAGGCGGCAUCCUGGACCAAUAUUGACGCUGAGGAGCGAAAGCCAGGGGAGCAAACGGG